UGGGGAAUCUUGCACAAUGGGGGCAACCCUGAUGCAGCGACGCCGCGUGAGCGAUGAAGCCCUUCGGGGCGUAAAGCUCUUUCGACCGGAACGAUAAUGACGGUACCGGGAGAAGAAGCUGCGGCUAACUACGUGCCAGCAGCCGCGGUAAUACGUAGGCAGCAAGCGUUGUUCGGAGUUACUGGGCGUAAAGAGUGCGUAGGCGGUUUUCUAAGUUCGGUGUGAAAUCUCCCGGGUUAACUGGGAGGGUGCGCCGAAGACUGGGAAGCUGGAGUGUGGGAAAGGCAGGCGGAAUUCCUGGUGUAGCGGUGAAAUGCGUAGAUAUCAGGAGGAACACCGGCGGUGUAGACGGCUUGCUAGACCAUAACUGACGCUGAGGCACGAAAGCGUGGGUAGCAAACA
Molecule: ribosomal RNA, 402 nt
Filed under: uncultured bacterium
Lineage: Bacteria
Description: bacterial SSU rRNA
Rfam family: Bacterial small subunit ribosomal RNA
Source: RNAcentral